AGUGAACGCUGGCGGUAGGCCUAACACAUGCAAGUCGAACGGCAGCACAGUAAGAGCUUGCUCUUACGGGUGGCGAGUGGCGGACGGGUGAGGAAUACAUCGGAAUCUACUUUUUCGUGGGGGAUAACGUAGGGAAACUUACGCUAAUACCGCAUACGACCUACGGGUGAAAUCAGGGGAUCUUCGGACCUUGCGCGAUUCAAUGAGCCGAUUUCGGAUUAGCUAGUUGGCGGGGUAAAGGCCCACCAAGGCGACGAUCCGUAGCUGGUCUGAGAGGGUGAGCGGCCACACUGGAACUGAGACACGGUCCAGACUCCUACGGGAGGCAGCAGUGGGGAAUCUUGGACAAUGGGCGAAAGCUUGACGUAGCAAUGCAGGGUGAGUGAAGAAGGUCUUCGGAUCGUAAAGCUCUGUAAGUAGGGAAGAAGAGAAGUAAAAGAAAAUAUGCAUGUUUUGACGGUACCUAAACAGAAAGCCACGGCUAACUUCGUG
This 492-nucleotide ribosomal RNA is filed under the name uncultured bacterium. RNAcentral describes it as "partial 16S ribosomal RNA". It matches the Rfam family "Bacterial small subunit ribosomal RNA", at positions 29 to 507 of the family's 1533-position model. The record is from RNAcentral.